Molecule: ribosomal RNA, 753 nt
Filed under: Triticum aestivum (bread wheat)
Lineage: Eukaryota; Viridiplantae; Streptophyta; Magnoliopsida; Poales; Poaceae
Description: partial small subunit ribosomal RNA
Source: RNAcentral
AUGCUACCACUACCCGUCCACCUGUCCUUCAUGCGCGGCCACUACUGGGCGGGCAUGAAGGCCAACUGGAUUGUCCUCAUCCACCAAUCCGGUAGUCCGUGGCGUCUCGUGGAUAUCUACACCCAGCGAGAGAUCACCCUUCCAUCGUUGGAUACCACCGCCACCGAGCCUCGCGGCCUGCCGGACACUCUUGCCUACUACGCACGAGACGCAGUUGAUAGGAGAACAGUAGAUUGGCCGGUGCUGCCGGCUGGCGUCAAGUUCGAUCCCACGGAUCAGGAGCUGAUCGAGCACCUUGAGGCCAAAGUGAGUGCUGACAGCGCGAGAUCUCACCCUCUCAUCGAUUUUUUCAUACCAACCAUCGACAAUGAGCACGGCAUAUGCUACCCCCAUCCUGAGAAACUUCCAGACCUAGUGAAGCAACGCAAUUCCAGGGCGUUCAAAAGGGGCACAUGGACGCGUCGCAAGAUACAGUCGGAGUACGACAUGCACGCGAUGUGGCACAAGACUGGCAAUACAUUGCCGGUGAUGGUCAAUGGCCGGCAGACGGGCAGCAAAAAGGUUCUCGUGCUACACACCAACAAGAACUUCGACCAUUCCCGCAAAAAAAACUUCGACCAGGAGAGGACCAACUGGGUGAUGCACCAGUACCACCAUAGGGACCUGGAGCAAGAGAAGGAGCGGGAGAUGGUCCUCUGCAAGAUUUUCUACCAAACGAACACUAGGGCCAGGACUAAAAAGAUUAUAAGUUAG